RNAcentral lists this ribosomal RNA (465 nucleotides) under uncultured bacterium. RNAcentral describes it as "partial 16S ribosomal RNA". It matches the Rfam family "Bacterial small subunit ribosomal RNA", at positions 28 to 507 of the family's 1533-position model. The record is from RNAcentral.
GACGAACGCUGGCGGCGUGCUUAACACAUGCAAGUCGAACGGAAAGGCCCUGCUUGCAGGGUACUCGAGUGGCGAACGGGUGAGUAACACGUGGGUGAUCUGCCCUGCACUUCGGGAUAAGCCUGGGAAACUGGGUCUAAUACCGGAUAGGAGCCAUUUUUAGUGUGAUGGUUGGAAAGUUUUUUCGGUGUAGGAUGAGCUCGCGGCCUAUCAGCUUGUUGGUGGGGUAAUGGCCUACCAAGGCGGCGACGGGUAGCCGGCCUGAGAGGGUGGACGGCCACAUUGGGACUGAGAGACGGCCCAGACUCCGACGGGAGGCAGCAGUGGGGAAUAUUGCACAAUGGGCGCAAGCCUGAUGCAGCGACGCCGCGUGGGGGAUGACGGCCUUCGGGCUGUAAACUCCUUUCGCUAGGGACGAAGCUUUUUGUGACGGUACCUAGAUAAGAAGCACCGGCUAACUACGUG